GCUCACCUCGCACAGUCGAGCGGACAGAUGGGAGCUUGCUCCCUGAUGUUAGCGGCGGACGGGUGAGUAACACGUGGGUAACCUGCCUGUAAGACUGGGAUAACUCCGGGAAACCGGGGCUAAUACCGGAUGGUUGUUUGAACCGCAUGGUUCAAACAUAAAAGGUGGCUUCGGCUACCACUUACAAAUGGACCCGCGGCGCAUUAGCUAGUUGGUGAGGUAACGGCUCACCAAGGCAACGAUGCGUAGCCAACCUGAAAGGGUGAUCGGCCACACUGGAACUGAAACACGGCCCAAACUCCUACGGAAGGCACCAGUAGGAAAUCUUCCGCAAUGAACAAAAGUCUGACGAAACAACCCCGCGUGAGUGAUGAAGGUUUUCGAAUCGUAAAGUUCUGUUGUAAGGAAAAACCAAUAACCUUUCAAAUAGGUCGCUCCCUUCACGAAACCUA
RNAcentral lists this ribosomal RNA (452 nucleotides) under Bacillus sp. (in: firmicutes). RNAcentral describes it as "bacterial SSU rRNA". It matches the Rfam family "Bacterial small subunit ribosomal RNA", at positions 46 to 493 of the family's 1533-position model. Lineage: Bacteria; Bacillati; Bacillota; Bacilli; Caryophanales; Bacillaceae. The record is from RNAcentral.